This 100-nucleotide non-coding RNA is filed under the name Paenibacillus sp. Its description in RNAcentral is "Guanine sequence". It matches the Rfam family "Purine riboswitch aptamer". From Rfam's summary of the family: Riboswitches are metabolite binding domains within certain messenger RNAs that serve as precision sensors for their corresponding targets. Allosteric rearrangement of mRNA structure is mediated by ligand binding, and this results in modulation of gene expression. A class of riboswitches that selectively recognises guanine and becomes saturated at concentrations as low as 5 nM. The record is from RNAcentral. Lineage: Bacteria; Bacillati; Bacillota; Bacilli; Caryophanales; Paenibacillaceae. RNAcentral also lists the same sequence under 2 other names.
CAAUGAUAACCAACCAACUUUCGUAUAAUUCCGGGAAUCGGCCCGGAAGUCUCUACUCGGUCACCGUAAUGACCAGGCUACGAAAAUUCAGGGGGCGUCC